GUGCUCAUGGUGGCAGCACAUACACUAAAAUUGGAAUGAUACAGAGAAGAUUAGCAUGGUCCCCGUGCAAGGAUGACAUGCACAUUUGUGAAGCAUUUGAUAUUUAU
This 107-nucleotide small nuclear RNA is filed under the name Zalophus californianus (California sea lion). The record is from RNAcentral. Lineage: Eukaryota; Metazoa; Chordata; Mammalia; Carnivora; Otariidae.